GAUGAACGCUGGCGGCGUGCCUAAUACAUGCAAGUCGAGCGAACAGACUAGUAGCUUGCUCCUCUGACGUUAUCGGCGUACGGGUGAGUAACACGUGGAUAACCUACCUAUAAGACUGGGAUACCUUCGGGAAAUCGGAGCUACUACCUGUUUAUAUUUUGAACCUCAUGUUUCAAUAGUUAUAGCCGGUUUUGCUGUCACUUCUCGAUGGAUCCGCGACGCUUUAGCUACUUGUUAAGGUAACGGAUUACCAAGGCAACGAUGCGUAGCGGACCUGAGAGGAUGAUCGGACACACUAGAACUGAAACGAGGUACAGACUACUACGGGAGGGAGCAGUAGGGAAUCUUACGCAAUGGGAGAAAGCUUGACGGAGCAAAGCCGCGUGAGUGAUGAAGGUAUUCGGAUAUUAAAACUAUGUUAUUAGGGAAGAACAAAUGUGUAAGUAACGAUGCACGACUUGAAGGUACCGAAUCAGAAAGCCACGGCUAACUACGUG
RNAcentral lists this ribosomal RNA (497 nucleotides) under uncultured bacterium. RNAcentral describes it as "partial 16S ribosomal RNA". It matches the Rfam family "Bacterial small subunit ribosomal RNA", at positions 28 to 507 of the family's 1533-position model. The record is from RNAcentral.